This 367-nucleotide RNase P RNA is filed under the name Microbacterium sp. H1-D42. Its description in RNAcentral is "RNase P RNA component class A". It matches the Rfam family "Bacterial RNase P class A". Rfam says of the family: Ribonuclease P (RNase P) is a ubiquitous endoribonuclease, found in archaea, bacteria and eukarya as well as chloroplasts and mitochondria. Its best characterised activity is the generation of mature 5'-ends of tRNAs by cleaving the 5'-leader elements of precursor-tRNAs. The record is from RNAcentral. Lineage: Bacteria; Bacillati; Actinomycetota; Actinomycetes; Micrococcales; Microbacteriaceae.
UGGGUCGGCCGGACGGCCGCGUGGCGCGAGAGCGCACCGAGGAACGUCCGGGCUCCACAGGGCAGGGCGGUGGGUAACACCCACCCGGAGCGAUCCGCGAGAAAGUGCCACAGAGAGAAGACCGCCGUCGCCCCUCGGGGAGGCGGUAAGGGUGAAAGGGUGGUGUAAGAGACCACCGGGGGACAUGGUGACAUGUCCCGCCAGGUAAACCUCGCCCGGAGCAAGACCAGACAGAGGGCGUCGACGCGGCUCGCCGAGUCCUCGGGUAGGUUGCUGGAACGACACGGCAACGUGUCGUCGAGAGAGAUGGCCGUCAAGGGAGCGAAGUACUCCUGAACAGAACCCGGCGUACAGGCCGGCCCACUCG